RNAcentral lists this ribosomal RNA (301 nucleotides) under uncultured bacterium. RNAcentral's name for it is "partial 16S ribosomal RNA". It matches the Rfam family "Bacterial small subunit ribosomal RNA", at positions 509 to 807 of the family's 1533-position model. The record is from RNAcentral.
CAGCAGCCGCGGUAAUACGAAGGGGGCUAGCGUUGCUCGGAAUGACUGGGCGUAAAGGGCGCGUAGGCGGCUGACACAGUCAGAUGUGAAAUUCCUGGGCUCGACCUGGGGACUGCAUUUGAGACGUGUUGGCUUGAGUGGAGAAGAGGGUCGUGGAAUUUCCAGUGUAGAGGUGAAAUUCGUAGAUAUUGGAAAGAACACCGGUGGCGAAGGCGGCGACCUGGUCUUUAACUGACGCUGAGGCGCGAAAGCGUGGGGAGCAAACAGGAUUAGAUACCCCCGUAGUCCCUGUCUCUUAUAC